Molecule: ribosomal RNA, 253 nt
Filed under: uncultured bacterium
Lineage: Bacteria
Description: partial 16S ribosomal RNA
Rfam family: Bacterial small subunit ribosomal RNA
Source: RNAcentral
UACGGGGGGAGCAAGCGUUGUUCGGAUUUACUGGGCGUAAAGGGCGCGUAGGCGGCCUGUUAAGUCGAACGUGAAAUCCCUGGGCUCAACCCAGGAACUGCGUCCGAUACUGGCAGGCUUGAAUUCGGGAGAGGGAUGCGGAAUUCCAGGUGUAGCGGUGAAAUGCGUAGAGAUGCGGAGGAACACCGAUGGCGAAGGCAGCCCCCUGGGCUGACACUGACGCUCAGGCACGAAAGCGUGGGGAGCAAACAGG